Molecule: ribosomal RNA, 104 nt
Filed under: Caerostris darwini
Lineage: Eukaryota; Metazoa; Arthropoda; Arachnida; Araneae; Araneidae
Source: RNAcentral
AACGGCCGUACCAUACUGAAUAUACCGGUUCUCGUUAGAUCACCGAAGUUAAGCAUCAUUGGGCGCGGUCAGUACUUGGGUGGGUGAUGAACACUGCGUGCCGU